This 31-nucleotide non-coding RNA is filed under the name Mus musculus (house mouse). Lineage: Eukaryota; Metazoa; Chordata; Mammalia; Rodentia; Muridae. The record is from RNAcentral.
UUGAAAAUCUUCAUUCUCAUCAAUUCCUAUU